RNAcentral lists this transfer RNA (90 nucleotides) under Xenopus tropicalis (tropical clawed frog). RNAcentral describes it as "Xenopus (Silurana) tropicalis (western clawed frog) tRNA". It matches the Rfam family "tRNA". From Rfam's summary of the family: Transfer RNA (tRNA) molecules are approximately 80 nucleotides in length. The record is from Rfam by way of RNAcentral. Lineage: Eukaryota; Metazoa; Chordata; Amphibia; Anura; Pipidae.
GGCUCUGUGGCGCAAUGGAUAGCGCAUUGGACUUCUAGUUGAUCUUACUAAGUUAUUCAAAGGUUGUGGUUUCGAAUCCCACCAGAGUCA